GGUCGGGACCAGUGUCCCUCUCUGAAGAGAAGCUGAGGUGAGAAUCUCCUCAUUAAGAGUUUCGUCAUAGUUCACACAGUUUUUUUUUUUAACCAAAUGUAGAAAGUAACAUCAUUCUUUAGGCUGUGCUAUAUUUUUGUUUCCUUCUUUCCUCCCAAAUGCGUUCAACUUACUCCCCUCACUAUUCCUCACUCUGAAUUUCCUCUCACUUCCUCGCCUCAUUCCGGAUCUUUUUGAUUCCUAAAGCCUUUUCUUUUGUUUCUCUCAGAACGCGGCCUUCAGUCCUUACUUUGAUCAGUUUAUGAGUUUCCCUGGUAUCUUAACUAAAAUUGUAUCACAGACCCCCUUGUCCAUUCCUUUCUUCUUUUUUGUAUGUUAUUUUUCUCCUUAGUUCUUGCCCUUAACCAAGCACUGU
This 415-nucleotide long non-coding RNA is filed under the name Bos taurus (domestic cattle). RNAcentral's name for it is "long non-coding RNA NONBTAT013881". The record is from RNAcentral. Lineage: Eukaryota; Metazoa; Chordata; Mammalia; Artiodactyla; Bovidae.